UGGGGGAUAUUGCACAAUGGGCGAAAGCCUGAUGCAGCGACGCCGCGUGGGGGAUGAAGGCUUUCGGGUUGUAAACCUCUUUCGCUAUCGAACAAGGCCCGCUUAGGGUGGGUUGAGGGUAGGUGGAGAAGAAGCGCCGGCUAACUACGUGCCAGCAGCCGCGGUAAUACGUAGGGCGCGAGCGUUGUCCGGAAUUAUUGGGCGUAAAGGGCUUGUAGGCGGCUUGUUGCGCCUGCUGUGAAAACGCGGGGCUUAACUUCGCGCGUGCAGUGGGUACGGGCAGGCUUGAGUGUGGUAGGGGUGACUGGAAUUCCAGGUGUAGCGGUGGAAUGCGCAGAUAUCUGGAGGAGCACCGAUGGCGAAGGCAGGUCACUGGGCCAUUACUGACGCUGAGGAGCGAAAGCAUGGGUAGCGAACAGG
RNAcentral lists this ribosomal RNA (420 nucleotides) under bacterium. Its description in RNAcentral is "partial 16S ribosomal RNA". It matches the Rfam family "Bacterial small subunit ribosomal RNA", at positions 355 to 776 of the family's 1533-position model. The record is from RNAcentral.